ACCGUUACGCGCAUAUAAUUUG
Molecule: microRNA, 22 nt
Filed under: Aedes aegypti (yellow fever mosquito)
Lineage: Eukaryota; Metazoa; Arthropoda; Insecta; Diptera; Culicidae
Description: aae-miR-11909
Source: miRBase by way of RNAcentral